UGCUUCCCAUCCCCUCCGCAGCCGGAGAGCCCAGGAGUAGCUGCUGGAAUCUGCACCAUCCAGGUCAGAUGGAAAAUAGAAGGCGGGAAAAUCUGACAGUCUCAUUGAUUUGCUCUCUUUGCCAUCGCCACUCUUGAGAGGAAGAAAUGUGACUUCAAAAUUGCAAUUAGGAACCAGCCUGCUAAGGAGUCCUCUCAUGAGCUCCUGUGCUGUGCGGAGCACAGGCCCAUCUCAUCUCAUUUCCUAAGGAGGUCAGCAGUUCUAGAAGAAUCUUUCUGGACAAAAGACCUGGAGUUGGCACUUUUGGCUGCCACUCAACAUUGCAUGGCCUCUACUGUGACCCAUCUUGGGACAAAAAAAUAAACUAAGGAGACGCAACACCUGUUGUUAGCUGAACCUGCUGACCAGGCUCCGUCUCCUCAAAGUUUCGGGAGAGCAGAGACGAUGGUAUAAGCAGAACUUCUUGCUCUUGGAUCAGCUCCUAGGUUUGUUCUAGUGCCUGGAGAGAACAGGUUGCAAUAUCUCCAACUGCAAAGCAGGUGCGUGGAGCCACAGUUUU
Molecule: non-coding RNA, 559 nt
Filed under: Pongo abelii (Sumatran orangutan)
Lineage: Eukaryota; Metazoa; Chordata; Mammalia; Primates; Hominidae
Source: RNAcentral